AAGACUAUACUUUCAGGGAUCAUUUCUACAGUUUCUGACUAGAGAAAUGUGUUUCUUAAAUGUUUGGUCUCGCUAACUACGAUGAUGAUAGGUUAUAUUCCUUCCUGAGCGUGAAGUGGACAGAGAGUAGCGAUUCUUUCGCACGUUCUCUGUCGUUGAUGAACGUUCAACACUUCUUUGCGGAAGUAUUGAUGGGAGGAAUGUGAUCAGAGUAGU
Small nucleolar RNA from Dunckerocampus dactyliophorus (ringed pipefish), 216 nucleotides. RefSeq annotates it as small nucleolar RNA U3. The record is from RefSeq and is a predicted model, not a curated record. The transcript has a single exon. NCBI's taxonomy places the organism in Eukaryota, Metazoa, Chordata, Actinopteri, Syngnathiformes, Syngnathidae.